UACCUCGUUCUUUUACAGCUGA
This 22-nucleotide microRNA is filed under the name Macaca fascicularis (crab-eating macaque). Its description in RNAcentral is "novel_miR15-3p". The record is from RNAcentral. Lineage: Eukaryota; Metazoa; Chordata; Mammalia; Primates; Cercopithecidae.